Molecule: non-coding RNA, 118 nt
Organism: Xylaria sp. FL1777
Lineage: Eukaryota; Fungi; Ascomycota; Sordariomycetes; Xylariales; Xylariaceae
Source: the annotation of a GenBank genome assembly
GGGAGUUUGGCCGAGUGGUUAAGGCGCUGUGUUUAGGUAUAGGAAAACCAACUUUGAACUGGUUCAUACCAUAGACCCGCAGUGGGAAACCGCGCAGGUUCGAAUCCUGCAGCUCUCA